Non-coding RNA from Podarcis lilfordi (Lilford's wall lizard), 7051 nucleotides. NCBI's taxonomy places the organism in Eukaryota, Metazoa, Chordata, Lepidosauria, Squamata, Lacertidae. The record is from the annotation of a GenBank genome assembly.
CAAGUUUUGAGUAAAAUUCUAUUUAGACUGUGCAAGAUUUAAUGACCAGAAAUUGAAAACUUGAUAUAAGAACUGCCAAAAUCAAAACAAAGACAAGGACACCAUUACGUUACAUAAUAAAAUUAUUUCUAUGGCAAUAAAAUGUGCCAAAUGGCCAUGAAAAAAUGAUUAUUUUAUAUUUAAAAGCUCAAAAGUUUGUAUUACAGUUACAGUUGCUGUAUGCCCUAUUGUUAAUAUCUUAUUUUUUUUAAUGAAGUUUUUGUGGUUGUAAGUUUGCUUCUAAAAUCUCUUUAGGAGUGCUGUGGCUUUUGUCCACCACUUCUUUACCACUAGGCGCCCCAAUUUUAUAUAACUUAUUAAUUUCAGAAUACCAACAUGAUUACUCUUUCUUGAAUCAACAGACAAGGAUUGCUGCUUUAUGAGCAAAGUUGGAAAACUCAGAGUAGACAAUCUUUUCAUUAUGCCCAGCCUCUACUUCAAUUUUGCAAAAGUGGUGUUUUAUACAGACUUUGCUGUGGGCAGUUUUGCUCUAUCGGGUUUUUCAUAUCUAAUUAUUGCAAUUAAUUAACAAAUUAACAAAAUCAUUUGAAACUUCUGUGGAUUUCUUCUUCUUCAUGCUCUUCCAUCACAUGCAUUCUAUGUUAAUCAAUAGGAUAAAAGCUCUCCUGCAAUAAGAUAAAACAGCAUGUGAACGGAACUUUCCAAAUUGUGUACCUUUUACCCAAAUUCCAAUAAUUUCACUAGAAUAAUUAUUUCUGCAAAUUUAAAGAAGCUGUUCAAUGCAUUAAAAACAUUUUCAAAUCACAAAACCAUAUUGGACCUAAUAAGCUUAAUAAUUUUAAUUUUCUAGUAAAAGCAAUAUUCUAAUUUGGGGGGGAGAGUUCUUCAACAUAAAAUCUUACCCACUUACACUGAUUUGACUCAGUACAGACCACUUAAAAUUCAUGUUAGCUUCAGCAGAAUAAUUUCUAAUAUAGCUGAGCAGAAUUCAAAAUUUCUCAUAUGCUUUCUUAAAGGAAAUUUUCCUUUAAUUUCCUUUCCUUUUUUCUUUUCCUUUCUUUUUUCUAUUUGGAUGCAACAGCUUUCAAAGAGAAAACUGGGCCUUAUCCUGUAGCCCUCAGGUUUUGCUUUUGUAAAGAAAUGUCAUAAUCAUGUAUUUAAUAUGUGUCUUUUGGACCAAAUACCAAGCACAGCAAAAGUCAUCUUAAUUUUUUUCCAAUUCUUAGACCCUUUUUAAUACUUGCCUUUGUUUUUAAAUACAGUAUCUCCAGAUAUUUCUCUUAAGAAUUAAUAAUGCAGUUAAAUGUCAUUUCUUAAAAAACAAAAAACAAUGUCUGGUCAUUAGGUCUCAAAAUAUGCAUUUGUUCUUCAUGGCUGUCCAGGUAAUUAUAUUUCUGCAUAUGAUUUAAGUUAAUUAUGUGGCAUUCUGCUUAAUCCUUUUCAAUGACCUCCAUUUUAUUUUAUGAACCUCCUUUGUUUAUGUCUCUUGUUUUAUUGAUAGAUAUUCCCAUGACUGAGACUAAAUGCUAACUAGCUUUUAAAAGACAUUGCUCUGUAAUUUCUGUACUUUUUUAACACCAUGCUGCCCUAUUUGAUCUGUCUUCAUAAUGACAACCAUAUAAAGAACAAAACCAAAGGCUAAAUGAAACCUUGGGCUUCGGUUGAAAAUGGGAGGUUGGUCACUGAUUUCAAUGAAAUCCUAGUUUCAUUCAUAAUCCUUACCCAGGGAAAACACUUGUUGGCUACCAUGACUGUUCUAUCAUGAGCUAUAGGUGGAAGGAUCCAAAGCUAAAAUAUGCUCUUUUCAUAUGUAAUAAACCAUUCCUAUCUUCAGAGCCCUGCUGGUGUACCAUAUGAGAUACAUGUUGACGUUCCUUCCCAUUGGCUAGUACUGGCUUAAGUCUACAUAUGUGUCAAGACUUUGGAUUGUAUCCGGUGUUAGCUAUACUCAGAAUAGACAUUGAAAUCAAUGAACAUGACUUAGCUUAGGUCCAUUUAUUUUAUUGGGUCUAUCCUGAAUAAAACUUAGUUGGAUGCAACCUUUUGUCUCCCAAACUACAUCCAUUAAGCAAUAAUUUGGAAGCCCUUUGCUACUGGAUACAAAAAUGUUCUAAGCUUAUCUGAAUCUGACCUCACAUAUGUUGUUAGGAGUAAUUCCAUUUGUGCCACACACAAAAAUGAUCAUUAACACAAGAGGAUGCCUUUGAGGCAAGCUCAAGAGCAUGAACCUAUUUUUGGAUAGUGGAGAAAGAGAAGGUGUUUCAUUUAUUUUCAUACAUAAAGGGUAAGAUACAUUGUGUCCUCUUCCUAAAAUGGGUUUAAGAACUGAAGCUUUACUAAAGAUAGCAUACCAUCUAGAUAGCCUGUAAGUAACUAUAUGUUCUACACUUAGUCCAGGGUAGCGAAUAUGGUGCUCAAGUGACAUUGUUGGACUCCAACUCCCAUCCACCCCUGUCAGUAUUGUCAGUGGUCAGAGAUUAUGGGAACUCUAGUCCAGCAACAUGCAGAGGGCACCAUGUUGGCUACCCUGUGACAGAGUGUUCCUUUCUAUCUUAUGGAACAACGACAUCUGACAUCACAUUACCACUCCAUGUUCAUUAUGGUUCUACAACAUCACAUAAGUCAUUGUUUGUACUUCAAAAGCAAACUCAAAUUACAGGUAAAAAAAACAGUGGCACCUUAAAGACUAACAGAUUUUUAUUAUGGCAUAAACUUUGUGUCCUGACUAAUGCAUAGUUUUGGUAACAGCAUUUCCAGUAUUUGGUCACAGUAAACUUGGAAAGGAAAGGAAAGGAAAGGAAAUGGAAAACAACUCUCACACUACAGGAAGAAACACAGCAACAAGAGGGAGAAGGAAAGGCAGAGUACCUGUGAGUACCUAAGGCAUGUUUAAAAACAUACUACUGCUAUGUUUAAUUACCUGUUGCUUGUAUAGUAAGGUAACUAUUGUCACAAAAGUCAAUGUUAAGACUUUUGUUCCAACCCUAUAUUGCUUGCCCAUCCACCACUAUUCUUGAAACCAACAUAAAAAAUCCCAUUCAUUGCUGUUUGGGGAUUGCCUGCUAAGACUGCCAUCCUCUGGCUAGCUUCACCAACUGAAUCCAAGUGUGAUGUAGCCAAAAAUGGUUGCAUACUAAGAGUUUAGCAAGGAUGCUCUUCUAGCUAUAUGACAUUAUAAGAUAAUAGUAUAUUUUUCAGCAGUGCUAGUCUAGGGUUCUCUUCUGCCCCAUUUUCCUAAAGGGGAGACAAAUGUAUUCAAAUAUGCUAAGGGAUAUAUUUAAUAACCUGUGACUCUUUGCCACAAGUUUUCCAAAGCAACUCAUUUCUCUCUACUCAGCUGAUCACUGAUUUGGCACUUGAUCACUGAUUUGGCUUUGUUCUGUGAUAACUGGGAGGUGGUGUUGCUGGCAACUCACCAAGCUGAGAUCGGCUGUGUACAAUUGAUAAAUAGCUUGUCAGAGACUUGGAAGCGUUAUUGUUCAGCAAGCAUUGCCAGUGGUGGACACAUUCACGUUUUGUGUCCCACUUUGAUGUUCAAACCAAGUUUACACCUUUCUGUAGUGAUAUGUGAUGUGCUUAAUGCAGUUUAAUACAUAGAUUUUCUCAGGGACAAAAAGAAUUUGCACUGAAUUAUUCCAAUGAAGCAAGCUGCAAAAGCUUGCUUACAUUACAGCCGCCUGCCUAAGCUCCAUUGGGUUCAAGUUCAAUUGCAGCCUUACAAAGCAAUCCAGCCUCCCAAACCUGGCCCACUGUGAUGGAAAGAGUAUGGAUGUGGCAGAAGUGUCCCUCUGCUUGGCUCCGCUGGCAGCAUCCUUCACCACCACAGAUGUUCCCCUGGGACCUGCUGAAAGCACAGGCAGGCAGACGCUACUACCUCUGGUAUCCCUGCCAGUGGUAACUAGUAGAAACUCCUGAAAUGGGACAUUUCUGGGGAAGGGAGGGGUGAGAAAGGGAUGGAGCUGGGUCAGCCAAGGAUUUGCUGGAUUCAAAACCAGUCCAGGUACCAGCAGUGACUCUAAUUUGGGCCUCUCUGCUAUACCAGAGCUGGCGGAGGGAUUGCCCUCACUUUUCACCUAGGACAGCAUGAGAGGCAGGUGCUUUGGAUGUGGUGGCUCCUCUCCUUCCAGGAGGGAGUUAAAAUGGUUCCCUUAGUGGGUUUCAUGCUCUUAAUUUGUUUUUGGAACAAGGCAGUGCAAAUUUAUUUAUUUAUUUAAGCCCAGAAAGACUAUACUUUGCAAUUGUUUUGAGCACAGCGCAUGUAAAAAAAAUUUCUCCCCAAAUCAGCACCUGCUUGGCUUCCUUCCUUUUUUAGCUUUUUCAUGUUGGGAUGCUGCCCAUCCCCAUUUCCUGCAGGUUUCUGUAGCACAGGCGUCCUCAGACUCGGCCCUCCAGAUGUUUUUGGCCUACAACUCCCACGAUCCCUAGCUAGCAGGACCAGUGGUCAGGGAUGAUGGGAACUGUAGUCUCAAACCAUCUGGAGGGCUGAGUUUGAGGAAGCCUGCCAGGUGCACAGAAGUAUGCCUGGCAUUUUCGUAAUAGCUGGGGGUUUGUUUCAAUGUGCUGACGCCUAAAGGCUACUUUCUUGUAUCCCCCCUAUGUGCCUGAGCACUUUGGGGACUUUUGUUUAGGGACUUGACUCUUCCCAUUCCUCUUUUACAUAUGCAUAAGUAUCAAGCUACUAAUCUUUGGUCAAGCCCAGUGUCAUAGCAGCAGUGAAAUGGAGGUUCUUCCAGAUAAACAAAUAUGUGCAUGCCACCUUGGCAGCUCACUUACUAUGAGAAAUAUCAGAAGAGCUGCACACACCCCUUUCCCCCCACCUUUGCUUCUUAAAGCACAGCACAAACACACAGAGAGAAAGGUGCCCUGAGGAUCAACAAAUCCCUGGAAUGUAUUGCAACACAAUAUGAAAAGCAAAACUGGCAAAUCACAUCACACACACACACACACACACACACACACACACACGUGGCGUUCUUUCUGUUCAUGCAUGAAUCUGUUUGGAUCCUAGCCAAUGCAGCCUCUCACCUUUCUUAUAACGAGUGAGCAAUCUUCAAAGAGGACACAGUGGUCUAAGUAAUUGCUCCCAGUGACAGAGUGUAGCACUCAAAAUACUGUUCAUUAAGUGUCAAACUCUACUGAGACAGCAAGCAGUAUUAGUAUGGAGACAGCAAUUCUGUACACUCACAUUAUGUAACAAGGUGAUCAGCCUUCCACAGUCUGGGGCCCUCCAGAUGCUGUUGGACUCCCAUCAGCCUUAGCCAGCAUGGCUAAUGGUCAGGGAUUAUGGGAGUUGUAGUCCAAAAAUAUUAUAGGCAUAGGGCUGAUCAAAAUCCAACUCCACAGAAGCCACAGCUGGCCAUGAAAGCAAAUGGGCUGCUGCUCUCUUGGAGCUGCUUCUGAUUAUAAGAAACAAGACCACAACCUGCCUGCAAAGUGUUUUCUGCCCAUGUCUUAAAUGUAAAUGGCUACUACAUAAGUGGACAAUGAUGGAAAAUCAGCUUCUCAACCAUGUAUAUUUAUGUCCUGAAAAAAGUGUGGAUAGGCUUUUCUCCAUAUUGGGUGUUACAUGAAAUUAUUAUUUAAUUUUUCCAUUGUCUCCCUGUAUGUUCACUUCGUCAUGCUGCUUACACAGGGAGGUUUCAGAUUCGUUCUCACAAUAGGGAUGGAAUCUUGGGUCCAAAGAUCCCCACGUGAGGGCAGAAAGCGCUUCUGUUCACCUUAAGGCUGCUGUUUUGCUUUUGAGAGGGUCCCCCUGGAGUGGCUUCUCCCGAGCAAGCUACAGCCAGAUGAAAAAUCAGCACAGCCGUGUGUCAGUGGAAACACUUUCUGCUUGCACACAGGGAUCUCUGAGUAAGCCAGCCCUCAAAAAGCAAUAUCCAAAGCCAAGCUGAAACUAAAAGAUCGGUUCAUUUACUGUGGGUUCAGGCAAAGUGGUUUCCUGUCUGUCUAGGUCAGAGUAUUGGAGAGAGAAAGAACUGCAUCCCACAUCCCUGGGCGGAGGGCAGAGUUUUAGUGUUAUUCCUCUAUAUAUUCUCAGAGCUUUAGCCACGUUCAUCAUAUGCAAGUCAGUGCCAGCCAUGCAGAUAAAAAUCUAAACAUUUAGAGAUCAGUUUUCAGUAACAAACAGCACUCAGCACUUAGCCUGUUGCAUUGAGAUAACUGUAAAUAACCACUCAAUAUGUACUGUUUCAUGUUUAUCAGUUAGAUGUUAUCUCCCAUAUUUGUUUCAUAUCUACAGUAGCAUGGACUGAGUUUACUUAACAAUGUUUUCUUCUAUGGACGCUACAAAUACUGUGGUGGGGGAGGGAAGCACAACAGUAUUUUUUAAAAUUGUACUGGCACAAUAGCUGUGUCUUUACUAUCGCUCAGUUUUGAAUGAAUGGCAGCAUUUCACUGUAAACUGCUAUACUAACAACAUAUUCUCCUUUUUAAAAAACAAAGCAUCCUUUUGGGAUAGGAGAUAUGUGCAUAUAUGAUAAGUCUCAUCUAAUCUCAUUCAUCUGCCUUUACAAAAUGCCCCAUCCAAAAUGGGAGAGUCUGCUGCUUUUGUUGUAUAUAUUACUUCUAUUUUAGGGAUGGAGCAGGACUGAAAAUUACAGUGUUCUUGUAAGGGCAUUUUGCAAUGGUAACAGCAUCAUGCAUGCUUUGUUGCAUCUUUGUAUUUACUAGAAAUGUCUUGUUUUCACCUUUUAUUUUUCUGUAGAGAGCAUACCACUUUAACUCCCCACCCCCACCCCUCCGCUGUCCAUCUUGCACCAUUAAUAGAACUUCACAUAUAAUGGUAUUCGUAUCAAUGUUUCCAUAUCAGCCGCAUUUUAACAUCAAUGAAAAGGAAAUGUGAUUUUUUUUUUUUGUUAUACUAGUUUUUUGCUGAUCAGCUAAAUAUUUCUGCACCAAUCAGCAUUUAAAUAUGCAUGUGGUAGUCUGUAUUGUACAGUUGUUCAACAUCAAAAUACUUGUUUAUUUUCUGUCAAAUGUCUGUAAAAUGAAUGGCAUUGUUCUCCAUUUCAGUCUGCCAGAAUAAGCAGAAUAGUCAAUAAAUGUGUAAAUG